UAAGUACUCCCUCCGUCCGAAAAUACUUGUCAUCAGAAUGGAUAAAAAGGGAUGUAUCUAGGAGUAAUAUACGUCUAGAUACAUCCUCUUUUAUUCAUUUUGAUGACUAGUAUUUUUGGACGGAGGGAGUAGUUG
Triticum aestivum (bread wheat) is the source of this 135-nucleotide non-coding RNA. NCBI's taxonomy places the organism in Eukaryota, Viridiplantae, Streptophyta, Magnoliopsida, Poales, Poaceae. The record is from Rfam.